UCUAGGAAGAGAAACCAUCGAGAUGAUGAAGAUAGUUUUCGUAGAGGGAUUUCCAGAAGGAUACAUUGAAUGAGGAGGAAAAAAGGAGGGGGUUUCUCGGAUACAUUGAUCUAUAAAUCUGGAAGAAGAAGAGGUGGAGAAGAAGACCCAGCAGCAACAAUAACCACAACAACAAGGAGGUUACUAGGAACAGCAACAGAAGAAGAUCAUCGUCCAAAUCCUCUGCUCCUCUGCUCGAGUUGGUCUGUUUGUCGAGGGAGGAAUCCAAGUUCUAAUAAUAACCAAUCUUGGUCGAAAUCUACAAGGGAUUCUAAAAGUGGGUCUUGAAGAAAAUCGAUGUCAAUGCUAUAGGAUAUCGUUACUGUUUUGUUGAACUUCAGAAGUUGGAGAAACUUCAGGAAGAGGAUCUUGUUGAAAGGUCGUUCAAGAAGAAACAAAUCAAGAUCAGGUUUCCUGAAUGGGGAAGAAGUGGGAGAUUUGCUCCAUUUGGAGGUAAGGUGUUGUUUAGCAGAGCAAAUCUCACAAUUGAAAAAGGAGAGAAACUGGCCAUUAUUGGCCCAAAUGGAUGUGGCAAGAGUACUUUGCUGAAACUAAUAAUGGGUUUACAAAAGCCAAUAGCAGGUGAAGUUCUGCUUGGGGAGCAUAAUGUCCUAACAAACUUUUUUGAGC
Long non-coding RNA from Rosa chinensis, 669 nucleotides. RefSeq lists it as uncharacterized. The record is from RefSeq and is a predicted model, not a curated record. The transcript is spliced from 4 exons. Lineage: Eukaryota; Viridiplantae; Streptophyta; Magnoliopsida; Rosales; Rosaceae.